CUGAUGUGGUGGAAGUUGUCGAACCAGAUCAGAACGCCUUCGAGGACCACCUUCAGGCACGGACUGAGAAGGAUGUGGAGGUUUUUGACCAGGAGACUGAACAUCGACAAGGCGCAGGAGAAAGAGAAGGAGAGCUACUGGAGCAGAAUCAAGAAGGGGACCAAGUGCUACGACAUCCAGGCAAAUUAUUUGGUUUGAAAGAAGGACAAAAGGAAGGCGAGACCUGGGAAACCUCGCUGCUCUUUUGCUCCUAGCUGGGGUCACCAUCUGUUAAGGGUUACCUCGGUGGAAGCCAACAAUCCUCUCCAGUUGGAGCAGUUGGACGGUCGACCACUGAAAGCACUGACGCCCUACACUUCGGUGAAGCCCAAUAGACAAAGUAUGUUAAGCUUUGGUUGACAUUUGAGAAAGCAAGAAAUGGUAGUUAUGCUGAGCUUAUAAAAAUGUACCUCUUCAAUUUACCUCUCCAAAUGACUUUAGGACCAUCGACUGUCCGAGCC
This is a long non-coding RNA of Coregonus clupeaformis (lake whitefish), 500 nucleotides long. RefSeq lists it as uncharacterized. The record is from RefSeq and is a predicted model, not a curated record. The transcript has 3 exons. Lineage: Eukaryota; Metazoa; Chordata; Actinopteri; Salmoniformes; Salmonidae.